This 506-nucleotide ribosomal RNA is filed under the name uncultured bacterium. RNAcentral's name for it is "partial 16S ribosomal RNA". It matches the Rfam family "Bacterial small subunit ribosomal RNA", at positions 28 to 523 of the family's 1533-position model. The record is from RNAcentral.
GAUGAACGCUAGCUACAGGCUUAACACAUGCAAGUCGAGGGGUAACGAGAGGAAAGCUUGCUUUCCUUGUCGACGACCGGCGCACGGGUGAGUAACGCGUAUCCAACCUGCCCCCAACUAAGGAAUAACCUUGCGAAAGUAAGACUAAUACCUUAUACUUUCCUCAGAUGACAUCUGACGAGGAAUAAAGAUUUAUCGGUUGUGGAUGGGGAUGCGUCUGAUUAGCUUGUUGGCGGGGUAACGGCCCACCAAGGCAACGAUCAGUAGGGGUUCUGAGAGGAAGGUCCCCCACAUUGGAACUGAGACACGGUCCAAACUCCUACGGGAGGCAGCAGUGAGGAAUAUUGGUCAAUGGGCGGAAGCCUGAACCAGCCAAGUAGCGUGCAGGAUGACGGCCCUAUGGGUUGUAAACUGCUUUUAUACAGGAAUAAAGUUAGCCACGUGUGGUUAUUUGUAGGUACUGUAUGAAUAAGGACCGGCUAAUUCCGUGCCAGCCGCCGCUGUAA